UACGUAGGGUGCAAGCGUUAAUCGGAAUUACUUGGCGUAAAGCGUGCGCAGGCGGUUGUGUAAGACAGAUGUGAAAUCCCCGGGCUCAACCUGGGAACUGCAUUUGUGACUGCACAGCUGGAGUGCGGCAGAGGGGGAUGGAAUUCCGCGUGUAGCAGUGAAAUGCGUAGAUAUGCGGAGGAACACCGAUGGCGAAGGCAAUCCCCUGGGCCUGCACUGACGCUCAUGCACGAAAGCGUGGGGAGCAAACAGG
This 253-nucleotide ribosomal RNA is filed under the name uncultured bacterium. Its description in RNAcentral is "partial 16S ribosomal RNA". It matches the Rfam family "Bacterial small subunit ribosomal RNA", at positions 524 to 776 of the family's 1533-position model. The record is from RNAcentral.